AACGAACGUUGGCGGUGUGGAUUAGGCAUGCAAGUCGAACGAAUGCUGGCUUUGUAGCAAUACCGAGCCAGAGGAAGUGGCGAAAGGGGCAGUAAUGCGUGGAUAACCUACCUUGGGGUUGGGCAUAGCCGUCCUAACGGACGGGUAAUUCCCAGAGAUUCAGCGGGGCGGCAUCGUUCUGCUGGGAAAGAAUUUCGCCUCGAGAGGGGUCCACGUGCUAUUAGCUAGUUGGUGAGGUAACGGCUCACCAAGGCUAAGAUGGCUAGCGGGUGUGAGAGCACGACCCGCGCCACUGGCACUGAGACACUGGCCAGACACCUACGGGUGGCAG
RNAcentral lists this ribosomal RNA (331 nucleotides) under uncultured Planctomycetota bacterium. RNAcentral's name for it is "bacterial SSU rRNA". It matches the Rfam family "Bacterial small subunit ribosomal RNA", at positions 29 to 351 of the family's 1533-position model. The record is from RNAcentral. Lineage: Bacteria; Pseudomonadati; Planctomycetota.